Molecule: non-coding RNA, 28 nt
Filed under: Bombyx mori (domestic silkworm)
Lineage: Eukaryota; Metazoa; Arthropoda; Insecta; Lepidoptera; Bombycidae
Source: RNAcentral
UAAGCUGUGAGUCCACAGAGUCGAGUCU